GCCUGGGUAGCAUAAUGGAAAUGCAGCGCUCCCCUAAAGCGAAGAUUGGACGUUCGAGUCGUCUCCCGGGUA
Molecule: transfer RNA, 72 nt
Filed under: Bacteroidaceae bacterium
Lineage: Bacteria; Pseudomonadati; Bacteroidota; Bacteroidia; Bacteroidales; Bacteroidaceae
Description: tRNA-Arg
Rfam family: tRNA
About the family: Transfer RNA (tRNA) molecules are approximately 80 nucleotides in length. Their secondary structure includes four short double-helical elements and three loops (D, anti-codon, and T loops).
Source: RNAcentral